CUUGGCUUUGUUGGAGAGAGGUUGUGGAGGUGACCUGAGGGAUAUGGCUCUGCCAUUUGUUCAGUGAUAUUCCAGGUUCAAACCUAGCAAUGAAGACACAAUUUCUGCGGUGAGAGGGUGUUGACUCUAUAACCCUGGCAGAGAAAGGAGUAACACCUGAGACUAAUGAGCACCAGAUGAAAGCUCCUGUGUACUUCAGCUGUGGCUGCCACCAAGGUAAAUUGCAAAACUUUCAUCAGAACGGCUAAAAGAAAGAGCUUAUCUUGAAUAUUUCAGUGAAAGAACUGUAAUUUCUGCAGCUGAGUGCUUUUUGUUGAUUAUUUACACUAUUUGGAGGAGUGGAAUGCAUUAUUUGCACUUGUCACCUUUAAAAAGCUUUCUUGAAAAUGUAAAAAUAUUCUGGUUUGCCUGGUUUAUCUUAUUAUUCAUGUUCAGUAUUUCCAGUGGGUUAUCUACAGCUCACUAAGCAGGCAGACAUAAUUUCUUAAAAUGGAGUGUUAUUCAGUGGAAUAGGGAUAAAUCUAAAGCAAAAAAAUAAUUUCAGUAUGGUAAGCACAGCAAUUUGUAUUAUUUUAGCUCAGCGUGGUUGCAGAUCUAAAUCUCCUAAAAAGAUCCAGGAGAAAAGGUACAUUUACACACAGCAUUUUUAAAAGGCAUAGUCACUUGCUUGUGUUAAAAGCUGCUCAUCCAUAGGAAAUACUUGGAACAUUGAGGUUUUUGAACGAUUGACUAAUUAAAAAAAAAAAAUUAGAAUGUGUGGUGAAAGGAAAUCUUCUGGGUGAAGAAAUGUGAAAGUAACAUUUCUGGCAGGCUACUUUGGGUGAUGUCAUUCUCCCAAAUGUGCCAAAGUCUGGUGUUUUACAGCAAGAACUGAUUUCUCAAGGCAGGCAGAGUCCAUGGGCGCUUGGUGCUGCUCUCAACUUCAGCCAGCCCAGCUCUGUGCAUUUUUGCAGCCUGUUGGAUGUAAUAAACCAUGCACACUUCUAAACAUGGCACUGAGGCUUCAUUUUAAUGUGAGAACACACUCACAUGGAGCUGCACAUGCUCCAUAAAUCCUGUGCACACCUUUCAUUGGGUGGGUUUGUCUCUUGGCUGAGGAUCUGCUCAAGGCCAGUGUUGGGUAUUCCUUGCCUUCUGUGUUAAUUGUUAAACUGAUUGGGUUCUGUGUAACUCAUCCAAGAGGGAGCACAAAUCCAGUCAUCUCUGGGGACCUUAAAGGAUUGUCCCACUACGGGCCAGUAAAUGUAGAUCACUUCUGUGAAAGCACAGCCAAUAUUUGGCUUUGUUGCAUUUUAUAUUACUGCUUUCAUUCCAUCAAUUUGAACAACUGGGCCCAGUCGUGUGGAAUAGGUACUUUAAAAUAAAAAUUGUAAAGAGUACAGCUGGCGGCAGAAAAUACUCAGGGCCUGAUUCUGGAGAAAUUUAGUGGACUGCUAAUGGAAUAAGGUGUUUCUGGUCCCAAGGUAGACUGGCCUUGUGGUUAUUGCAUCUGAAAGAAAACUGCUGCAUACUUUUCCUUUUUUACUUCUAGUGACAAAUACCAUGUCAACAGUGAGUAAAAUUUUUGUUACUAGUUGUAUAUUGAAAUAAUCAUAUAAUUAUGUAAUCAUAUAAUUAUAUCAAUCAAGAUAUCAGUGUCUUAUGAGCAGGUUUAUUCCUUAUGAUAUUAGGAAUAUAAUCAAUAUUGUAAAUCAAUGUGAUUUACAUCACAAAGUACCAAAUCAAUAUUUCCAUGCUAGCAAAUAGAAUAAAAGAAUAAUGAUACUCCUUUAUUCUGUUUGCUAGCAUGAAAAUAUUGAUUUGGUACUUUGUGAUUCAAGGACUUUCUACAUCCAUUGAGGAAAAUCCAUUUGGUAAAGCUCUGGAAAGAAAAUCCAUCAAAGCCUCUCAAGCUUUAUCAAGUCUUAUUGACAUUAAAAAUGCAUAUAUUUGAUCUAAGCUUGGUGGGCAUCUCUUAUUAUGACACUGUCAUUUUAUGACGUUGAGUAUUCUUAAGGUAAGUGUAUGCCAAACCAGCAUUUUGGAAUAUUUAUGUCUGUAGAUUAUGGUAAUUCUUUGGUUGUGGGAUCCCAAAAGAAUAGCACCUCUUAUAGGCACACCUGCAUGAUGGUGGAAAGUGCAUCCUCAGUUUUUGUCCCAACAAAGAUUGCAGGUAGGUUACAGCAGAGGAAGGGUGUGGCAGCAUUGGAAAAAUGGAGGUAAGACAAAAAAGUCUAACAAUUCUUCUUAUUCCCCACAUGAGCUCUGGAUGAAAAAUGUUUAAAUCUGUCUGAGAACCAAUGUUUAAAAUGUCUAUCCAUAUAGAUGACGUGGCAGUAGUGAAAGUUUCGGAGUUCAUAAAACGCAGUGCAAAAUUUUAUCUGAUUCUAAUUCAAAGUAGUUAUCAAUACUCUUCAUUGGUACCAUGAGCCAUUUAACAUUCAGUAUACUUGCCAAGUGCUGUAGGUGUAAUUUCAUUUUUAACAAGUCACUACCAGCAGGCUCAGGUUCCACUGUCAUUGUAGGACUCCUUGGCUGUCAUAACCAAAGCUGGAAUGUGGAACUUUGUGCCUGGUGUAGACCAAAUAAUUUCACUUAAAUGUUGGUAAUUUUAGCAAGUCUUCAUUAACAAAAUGCAAAAGCAUUUUUGUUAUGACUGCUAGACCUUCCUAAUAAAAAGAAAUAAUCAAUGCAUAUUUGAAAUAUAAUAGGCUUAGUGUCUAAUUGUAAAACUUAAAUAACCGUACUGGAGAUUUCUGUAAAUAUUCAAUAUUUUUGCCGUGUUUAUGGUCUUGGACAUGUCCAGCUGUGUUUGGGUGUUUAAAUGUGUCAUUGAAACGUGCUGUACCUCUGCAAAAGCUCUUGGGAGCAGCUGCUGCCUGGGCUGGGCGUGCUGGGGUGCAGGAGGAUUCUCCCCCCUCUUCCUGAGCCAAGAUUUUAUUAGGCUGGCUUGUAAAUCAGAGGGAUGGAUGCCUGCUGAGUUGGGAUUUUUGGUUAUUGCUGCACUGAACUAGGAUUUUGGUGUUUCAAAGAUUCAGGAGCUGGACUGCAUUGAGUUAUUUGUGAGUGAGCAGCAGCUGGGGAAGAUUCAGCACUGUUUACUGGCAAUACCUAUGGACAGACAAAUCCAACAGCCACAUCUGCACUCAGGAGUGUCCUACAACCACCUCAUGGAUGUGUAGGUUACACUAAAAAUGAGGGAGGAGAGGCACCUUCAUCUAGGGAAAAACUACUUUAUCAUGUUGUAUAACCCAUGUCCUCCCUUUCCAUUGUAGGAAUUAAUUCCUCAGGAUUUGGACUUUCUGGGAGUCUUGUUUUAAUUUUACAAUGUAAAGAACUACAGGGGUAGAGACCGUGUCUUAUUUAUUGCUUUUAUGAGUCAUUUAGUUCAUUUUUGGAUGCUUGACAGAUAAUAAUGUGUUUGAUUGCAUCAUGUGGUACACCAGGUCUGGAGGAAAACAGACUUUCAACUCUGUAAUGAAGUCUUAAGCUUGAUUUACUGUUUACUCAUUCAACAGCAGACGCAGGCCAGAAUUCAGCUCAUUUAAGUUCUAUGGAGUGGCUCAGCCAAAGGCAAUAUAAAACCAGGUAUCAUCAGUGUACAUCUAAUAGUUCACACUGUGUGACGCUGUCUAGAUUUUCAUCAUUAAUGUUCCUGCACUAAACAUGGCGCAUUGGAUAGAAGAAAACUUGGAUGGAUUUCAGCUGGAAAAUAUUCCCAGUAUCCAAGAGUUCUGUAGAAUAACAUGUUAAUGGUUGUAAUUUUGCAGUAGUCCUUAUACACUCUGUAUUUCCCAGUUGUUGAGCCCUACUCUAAUUAAUCUCUCAAUAAAACAAAACAAAACCUUCCCCCCUUUUUUCUCUCCCAUCCCAUUGUGUGGUCUUUGGAAAGCCAGAGUUGUGGAAAUAUCAACAAAUUAAUUCUUAACAGAAUAAUCGAGCUGACAGCUAAAGAGAUGCUCACUUUAUCAAGCACUUAAAAAAAUAAUACUUUUGUUCGAAUUUUGUUCUCCAUUAUUGAUUUUUCCUUUGAGUGAAGCUGAGUCUGGUGCAGAGGGCUGUGGAGGGCUGGGAUGCUUUUGGCCGGGCCUGGGGAUGUGGUGUUCAGCCUGAGCAGCUGAGGGAGGAGCUCUGGAUUCCUUUUCCUCCUCAGGGACAUGGCAGUAGUCAGGAGCUGAGGAUGGACCUCGUUCUGGGGCACAUGCUCAGCCAAGGAAAUUUGAUCAAGUUGUGUUGAGCAAAAAUUCCAACCUGCCGUGGAUGGGGAGUGUCAGAAAGGCAGGACAGCACUGCCUGUGGUGAAGCUCUUGUGUCAGAGGGAUGAAUUAACAACUUUGACUGCAGUGGGGCUGCUUUGGGAUCUGAACUUCCAAUCUCCCUGAGGCUUCUCAGGGAGCUCAGCCAUGGCAAAGGACUAAGAAAGAAAAAGGACUUAAAUGUUAUGGAAUAUUAAUAGAGCCUUCUUGGUAAUGGGGGGAUUUCCAAAGGGGGGAGGCCAAAGUGGUCAAGUCCAAAUAAUGCAAAACUGACUUGAAAUAUGUGAUUUAGAUUUAUAACAUGUCUCAGUUGAACGGCUGGACAGAAUCACACAAGUUAAUUUGGACUUCCAGAGCAAGAUCAGGAAAGGGAGACCACUCAGGAGACCAUUGAAUUCAUCAGUGAAUCCUAAUCAUUUACUGGAGAAGUUAAAAGAAAUUGUCUUUAAUGAGGAGAAUGAAUGUUGGAAACUAUUUUGGUGCAAUUUUAUCUUUUAACACUUGAUCCUAACCCAGCUUAUGACACAUGAGAAGAUAAAUUCCUGAUAUGAGUUGUCAAAUUUGCAUUAGGUACAGGCACUAACUAGAGACUUGUGCCCAUCCAAAACCUGAGCUGUUUUUAAAAAAAUGGAUUUCUGGAAUUUAGAAAAAAAAAGUCUUUGUAGCUAUUAAAAUCAAUGAAUGAAUUGGUAUUUUAUUAUGACUAAUACCUUUAUUGAAAUGCCAGAUACAUUCAGGCAUUAAAGGCUUUAAUAAUGUGGCUCAGAUAAAGGGGUGAUUUAUUUUUCUGGGUUGCAUUUUUUGUUGAUAAAUUGCUGUGUUUUGAAGGACAAGAGCCCUAAUGUCACCAUAACCUACUUCUGAGAAGCUAAAGGGAAUAUCUGAUGCUUUUUUUGUAAUCUGAAAUCACAGCUGUGGAAGUUCAAGUAUUUUCCAUUCAAACUGCAAUAACUCAAAUUUCAGCUCAGUUCUUGGAUCAACAGUGGAUAAUAGUAUUCUGGUUGAGUUAUCAGCUGGUUUGUUCCAGAGCCUUUGUAUUUUGGUUUAUUAGACACAAUCCCAAGCUUACGGAAGGAAUUCUUCAUUCUUUUAAGUGCUACUGCAAUUAUCCAAAAUGUUACAUAUGUGAGGAAAAACACUUCUUUGGGUAACCUAGGAAGAUUCAGAUCAUUCUCUUGCUCAUUAUAGUUCUCUAUAUUGUAUGUCAGAAUUCCCCAAAGGCUCUUGGAAACUUAUCCAUGCCUCUGUGUCCACACAACCUGCUCUUGACUUUGCCUUUUGAGCUGUGUAUGUGUUUGCUGCUGUUAAAAGAGCAAAUCCUAUGGAGCAGAGGCCUCAUGAGCUGCCAGAUAAUGCUCCCACAUGUAAAGAUGUUUCUAAAGGAGCAAUGUGAGUUGAAGCACUGUCAGAGCAGAGCUUUCUAAAAUUUGUUGUAACCACUAAAAUGUUGAAUCAAGGGCCAGGUUGCUUCUCUAAGCAUUUUGAAUGGAUAGUUUCUAAGAAACAAACCCAGAAAGUGCAGGCAAAAUUGUGUUUUCACUGAAGCCUUUGAAAACUGCAAUGUUUAAGCAGGGCUGGUGUUUGCUUCUUGCUUAAUGGCUGUAUCUUGAUUUGUAGUUCUUGCCAGGGCUGGGUCUCAUGCACUCUGACCACAUCUGCUCAGCGCUGGAGGACUUGCUGGCAAAGGAGCAGGAAUUCUUUCAACAGUUCUUUGAGUAAGGAUCAGCUACUUUUAAUUUACCAUGGGAUGAAAACAUUUACAUGAUGUUCCCACAGCACAGGUGAUGCAUCCUAAAGGUUCAUAACCCAGUUUACCAUGUGCUGAUUUGUUCAUGUAUCUCUGCUUUAGUUUUCUGGUAUCUGCUUUAUUGUGGGAAUCAGCUGUAAUUACCAUGAACAACAUGUUUAUGUCCUAUAAAGGAGAACCCAUUUUAAAGUAAUUUUUAAAUUUCAUUAGAUUAAAUAUCAUUUUGGUGGAACACACCAUUCAGUAACUUCCUCUGAAUGCUUAGCAAAUAGCAUUUCUAAUUAAACAUGUUGUGCUUGCCCUUGUUCUUUUGUAUUACACCAUUUGGUUGGAGCAGAAAAUGGUCACGAAAGCCAGGAGUGCCUAAUAACUGGUGUGAUAGAAAAGCAAAUUGGUAGCUCAGUACCUUUUAAAACAGCUGUAAAGUUUUUACUUGGUAGCAGAAGUCAAUUGAUUUUUUCCUUUCUUCCUUACUUUGCUUUUGGGUUGUAGUCUGAGGAUAUUUUUUUUCCUGCCACAGCUGCCUGCAAAAGUGCCAGGUUUGGCAGCUCCCACCUGUGUAAGCACUUGAGGUAGAGUGGUGUGAAUUAGCCAAAAACUGCUCAGCUCCAACUGUUGUGCGCCGAGGUGGCUGAGGAGGGAGCUGCUACCAGGAAGGGUUUCCUGCCUUGUAAACUAAAAUCAUUUUUGUAAAUAUGAUCUUUGGGUUUUGGUUAUGUUGUGUAUAUUCAGGGCUCUUUCUGUGAGAUUUUUGUUUCAUUGUCCAAUUAGGAAAUCAGCUGGAUUCUCUGGCCUCUGCCCUUGGAGGCUUUGUUGGUUUACAUAUUUGUGUAUUGCACCAACAUCAGUAGCAACUGGGAACAUGAAAUAAAAACUGAACUUUCAAGAAGGGGAUUGACCAUUUUUAUCAUUGCAAGUUUUAUUUUUAAAAAAAUCUCUUGAUUUUUGCCUUGUAAACGUUUGAGAACCCAAGUGUUCCAAUGCCCACUUGCAUUGGGCCACUGAGAAUCACCUUCCACUGCCCAGCCUGCUGAAUCCACAGAGAGCAUACUUUGAUUUCCAUGUUUUCUGUGAGCAAUGGGAACAGUGAGCCUGUUGCAAAUGCACAGCUUAAACAUCUCGAUUCUGUGGCUGGUUUCAGGUUCUAAUAAAUAUUUAUUCAUUGGGGUUUGUUGCUGCAGAAGUUGCUCUAUUUCUGCUCUGCAGUCCUGAGUAUCCACCUUGGGCUUUCCUCUUCCUGAGGAGGGAUUUUCUAGAGGCAUUGAGCCUACAAGAUACAAAAACCAGUGAAGUCCACCCCAUUAGCAAGGACUACUUGGUAUUCACACAAUAAAGGGAGGGAAAUUUCAGGUUCCUUAUUGUUGUGUUUGAAGCCAGCUCUGGUGAUGGAUAUACAGAUCAAAACCAGGUGAGUGAGGACCCAGAACACAAUUGGAGUGGCUGCCAUGUUUAUCCAGAAGCUGACACAUCUUAACUAGAAGCUAUUCUCAAAGUAGAGAUGAGGCAAAGAACGUGACAUGUGUUUAGGAAAUGUGCUUCUGGGUGAGUGGGUAAAUUCAUGGAACAAGGAAUUUUGAAUCUGUGUGCAUUUUUACAUUUUUAGCUGUAUGGAUGAGCUUCUUUGUAUCAAGUCCAAGUCCUCCUCUGGAAAGGAAAAGAGGUUUUCUUGGUUCUUGCCUCUCUGGAGGACAUGGGGAGGGGUGGAGUUGAAGCAGGUGGUUGCUACCAGAGGUUGUUACUAUAUUUGAGCUCCACCUUGGCCUUGGAGUGAGAAUUGCCCUUGUGGAGAAGGGCUGCUUUGGCAAAAGGGGAAAAGUGUUUCCUGGGAUUAACAGCGAUUCCUGCUGCUACUGUUAUCUGGUGUUUGUGUUUUUGCUGGCAAGUGAUGGUCCUGCUUUGGUUAAUUGCAGUCAGUCCCAUUUAAUGCUGUGAUGUGGUGAAGCCAUGUGGUUUAUGGCCCACAGUUGUCAAACAGAACAAUUCAUUAAGCUCCUAAGUCUGUUGAGUCCUCCUUAUUCCCUUUUAACUCAGUCUAGUGUGUUCCCUUAUUGCCAUCGUAAAGAUGUCAUAGCUGCCCAAUGCUGUUCAUAUUUCUGUAACCCUUCUGUGUUACUGAAGACCUUGUUUCCACUGCCACCUUUGGUGGGAGUUUUGUGAUUCAACUGGGAAAUUUUACUUCUAAAAAACCUGUCUCAGUAAUCAAAGGUUUUAGAGGGAUAGGGCAUAGCUCAGGAGUCCUUCAUUUCGAGUCUAACUAAUGAAUCUGGGAUCCAGUGGGAAUGCAUGAUGUUAUCUUGGACCUAGGAGUUGGAUGCAUUUUUCCCUUAUUGACCUGUGGCUGACUAUCUUUAGUUUAUGUGGCUGGAGUUUGUGCAGUGAACUGUCAUGGGUAACUGAAUAUUUUGUGUAACUGAAUAAAUUGAAGCAUGUUUCCAGCUUGGGUCAUUAAUCAGUUGAGCUGGGAUAGUCACUUGGGGGGGGCAUCUUCUGUCUUUACAGUGGUUAGGCUUAGUUGAGUUCAGAAGUUACAAACCCAGCCUAGCAGUCUGCACCACUAUUAUGGGACAAAAAGAAGGUAUUUACUGUGCUAAAGAAGAAGAAUCCAAAAUAACCAAGCCACAUCUACUCAUUGUAAACAAACUCUGUGCAAAUUUCUAUCCCAUGCAGCAUCACUGCCUUUACCACAGAUGCACAGUGGGAAUCAGUGACUGCAGUGAUUCAUGCUGCAGUUCUUUUCUUUCCUUGCUUUAUUUUUUUAGCAUAAAUGUGACACUUGCAGAACUCGGGGAGUAAAAACCAUUUGGCUUUGGCAAGCAAGUGUGGGUAGAGAGUAUAAAAUUCCAAACACAGCUGUGCCAAUGUGCUUCAGUCCUAACUUACAACAUUUCCUGCUCUUCCAGAGCUGGGGCUGGCUCAGGGAUUGCCAGUCAUGACACUUUUUUUAUGGUGGUUUUGUGCUGUGGACCAAUGGGGACCAGAAUGAAACCAGCAGACUAAUUUUAGUUCAUGAUCUGAGGUUUUGAAUCCAGGUCUGCAGAAGUGAAAGAUUAGUGUGUAUUAGCUCACUGAAAAUUUGAGCCUGUUCUCCAGCUGGACUGUCUUGACCACCUGCUAAUUUGUUGAUAAGGUGAGAGACUGGGCACUUUGGGUCCAAUUCUGACCUCGUGUGCCCUGGUGUAACUUACAUGGUUUGAAAAAUCAAUUUCAAUUGUUUGAUUUAAACUUUAGCUAGGCCUAGACCUCUCUGCUCUUUUAUUAUUUUAAAUAAAACCAUAGCACAUUUGCUUUUUGGUUGUAUAACCUUUUUUCCCGUCCAAUUUUUCAGUUUCUGGAGACAUCUGUUUUCUACUGGUCUUGCUUUUCAUAAUACCACCAUAAAA
Molecule: long non-coding RNA, 9362 nt
Organism: Motacilla alba alba
Lineage: Eukaryota; Metazoa; Chordata; Aves; Passeriformes; Motacillidae
Exons: 3
Source: RefSeq, a predicted model, not a curated record